UCAUAUAUAAUCUCCAUAAUCUUAAGCUAUGCUAAAAGUGGCAUGGACACAUCCAGAAUCUCAUUCUUCAUAAAGUUAUAAGAAUCUAGAUCUUAUGAACCAUGACAUGUGUUAUGAUACUACUUUCCAUGAGUCUCCAAUAACAUUAAUGAAUGAUGUAACUUAUCAAGUAUGAGCCUAAAAUGGCUAAUUCAUAAUUCAUAAUUCAUGAUCCUUAAAUGGCUAACUCGAGACAUUUGCAUAAAGCAGCUAACAUAUGAAUGCUAGUCAAGAAAG
Molecule: long non-coding RNA, 276 nt
Filed under: Capsicum annuum
Lineage: Eukaryota; Viridiplantae; Streptophyta; Magnoliopsida; Solanales; Solanaceae
Description: long non-coding RNA (CANN_LNC009493)
Source: RNAcentral